Molecule: ribosomal RNA, 465 nt
Filed under: Vreelandella stevensii
Lineage: Bacteria; Pseudomonadati; Pseudomonadota; Gammaproteobacteria; Oceanospirillales; Halomonadaceae
Description: partial 16S ribosomal RNA
Rfam family: Bacterial small subunit ribosomal RNA
Source: RNAcentral
CCUACGGGCGGCAGCAGUGGGGAAUAUUGGACAAUGGGCGAAAGCCUGAUCCAGCCAUGCCGCGUGUGUGAAGAAGGCCUUCGGGUUGUAAAGCACUUUCAGUGGGGAAGAAAGCCUUGGGGCUAAUACCCUCGAGGAAGGACAUCACCCACAGAAGAAGCACCGGCUAACUCCGUGCCAGCAGCCGCGGUAAUACGGAGGGUGCGAGCGUUAAUCGGAAUUACUGGGCGUAAAGCGCGCGUAGGCGGUCUGAUAAGCCGGUUGUGAAAGCCCCGGGCUCAACCUGGGAACGGCCUCCGGAACUGUCAGGCUAGAGUGCAGGAGAGGAAGGUAGAAUUCCCGGUGUAGCGGUGAAAUGCGUAGAGAUCGGGAGGAAUACCAGUGGCGAAGGCGGCCUUCUGGACUGACACUGACGCUGAGGUGCGAAAGCGUGGGUAGCAAACAGGAUUAGAUACCCGGGUAGUC